This 76-nucleotide transfer RNA is filed under the name Alkalibacter rhizosphaerae. RNAcentral's name for it is "Alkalibacter sp. ES005 tRNA-Ala". It matches the Rfam family "tRNA". From Rfam's summary of the family: Transfer RNA (tRNA) molecules are approximately 80 nucleotides in length. Their secondary structure includes four short double-helical elements and three loops (D, anti-codon, and T loops). Lineage: Bacteria; Bacillati; Bacillota; Clostridia; Eubacteriales; Eubacteriaceae. The record is from RNAcentral.
GGGGGUAUAGCGCAGUUGGGAGCGCGCCUGACUGGCAGUCAGGAGGUCAGGGGUUCAAGUCCCCUUAUCUCCACCA